UUCUUUUUAGGGAAAUAACGCUGAAAAAAAGAGUUUGACAAUCGUUGUAUGAAAAUGAGAUUUUAUUACAAUAAAAGAAAAGUCUCGUAGGUGGGAGAGUUUGACAAUCCUUGCAUGAAAGAGAGAUUAUGAAGAAAAGAAUAAUGAUCUCAGCAGAAGGGGAAGACCAAAAUUUUCUCACAUCAAAUAUGAACAAGAACCAGUCCAGCAUACAAGACUUAAGAAGGGUGUGCAACACGAUAGAUGUGAAAAGGUAAAGAAAAGAGCCAACAUUGAUUAACCACAAAUUUAGGUAAAUGUUUAAUUUAGUUCCUAAAUCCUAUAUAGGUACCAUUUCUAAUCGCUUAUUUAAUUUUGUAUGAAUAUUUUGGGAUUUCAAGUAUUUGAAGGAAUGCCAGUGGAUCAUGAGGUGUUAUAUUGACAAAUUCAAUAAGAAUACUAAGUUUUUGGGAAUCCUAAAAAUACAUAUGCUAGUCCCGAUAAACUAGCAAAUUCCUCACCAGUUACAAGAGCCUAACAAGGAAUUUUUUGUAGCAGUUCAAAAUUUAACUCUUUACCCUAUGAUCCAUAUACCUUGGUCAACUUUUUUGAAAUAUUAAGAUAUCAAAUGACUUUUUUGGGAUGGCUGCCGGUAAGGAACGGGCACUCAUUGGUCGUCAUUCAUAAGAGUCUAGAGAUCCCACUUGAUAAAUAAUGGUGCAUAUUCCAAAACUGCAUGACCAACAAUUUUUGGGACAAGGAGUAAGAAGUAUUUUCACAGUAAUAUGUAGCUUAAAAUAAAGCACCACUCCUUGUCCCAAAAAUAAAUAAAGGGACACACGUAGAGAGAAGAAAAAACAGGAAAAGUUAAAAUGUUAGAGGUCGCAUUGAUCAAAAUUUAUUGAAGUUUGACUUUUUCUCCAUUUUGGAUUUCUGAUCCAAUUUAUGCAUUUUUCUCUUUAACUUAUUGAUUAGCUUAAAUAAACAUUUUAUUUUAAUGGCAUUUCCUCAUAGGUUUUUCAGAUUACAAGCAUAUAAUAUACUAUACUUUUUCCUACUUAUUAGAAGAGGGAAUAGCAGGUACGCCUCCGUCAACAUAAGUGCUUUCAUAGAAAUAAAAAUUGAUCUGAGGAUAUUUAUGUCAUUUCAAACCUUUUCACUCGAUCUCUCAGGUUACACGUGUAGUUCCAGUUUAAACAUGUGGCAGCAUCUCUGAUUUUCAGCUAAAAAUCUCGACCGAACACAGAGAACUAAGGACAUUUCCAGAAAAGCAACGCUCCAGAACAUCUGUUCUCUCUCUCCUCUUGCUCUCAAGUUUGUAUUGCAAUGUGUUUUCUUCCUUCAAUCGUAUUUUCUGGUGGGUAUCCCUUCAACCAUCUCUUGAUUCGUCUUUAUCUGUAUCUCUUGAUUCAUGUUUGUCUAUAUUUUUCUUGAGGAAUAUUUAAGAAAAUUCUUGAACGAAUACCAUUUCUAUUGAAGUACUCUAGGUGUUUGAGAAAAUUCUUCAAUAAAUUACCAUAAUUUCUUAUGCAUAUUUAUGUCUUCUCUAUUGUUUAUGUGUUUGAAAAAAUACUUGAACAACCAAACUUAUCAGUUGAGUUAGCAAGGACGAGGUGACCGCUUCAAUUAUUAAUUGUUUGCUAUGUUUUUCUUCUCGCUUCUACUAUUUUUUUGCUGGUCAUAUAUAUCAUCAAAUACCUUUGUUUCUUUAUUCGAUCUCUGACCUCUUCAUUUGCUAUCUUUGUUCUCGGUCAAUUAAUUUUUCAAUUAUUAGCUUAUGCACUUCUUGUUUUCUCAUAUGUGCACUGAGGUUGUUUUAGUUAUUUCUAUCGAUUUAUUUGACGAUAACUGGGGUAUUUGGGGCUUUGACAUAUUUCUCAGAUGCUGAGGGCCUGUGUGUAUUUGAGACGGAUUCUUUUGCUAUUUCCAUAAUGCAUAGAUUGUUUUGGAAUAUUUUUUAAUAAUUAAUGUUUUCCUCUAUAAACUAUCAACGUGGUGGUUAAAUAAAAUUAGCUUUUCGAUUUAUUGACACUAAAAUAGUACAAUCGGUAGGAUGCUAACCUAGAAGUGUGUUAAAAGAUUAUAUUUCCUCUGCGCUUGAGAUAAUUAGAUUCAAAGAGCUAUUUAUAUGAACUCACUAUUAGAUUAAAUAAUUACUGAUCCAAUAUGUUCGGAAUUGAGUAGUUGAUUGCUUGAUUUAUAUUGAAAAUAUGUCAGAGCUGCUAUAAAAUCUGAUGAGUUUUACUACUCAAAACUAUCCAAUUGGCCGGACAGCUUCCAGAUCUUCUUUAACCUUUUCAUCAUUUUCUAAUGAAUAAACAAUGAUUAAGCAUAUCAAGGAAAAAAAACAAUCACCAUGAUAAGCAAAAACAUGCAAAAUCAGAAAGAAAAAGAACACAAAUACCUCAAAAUGAGAACUAACUUUGAAAUUGUCCUAGAAGUCUCGAUUUUGAACCAAAAAAGGUCUCGCUCAUGACCAAGGCUUGUUUUGGUCUCUAUCCACCUAAACCCUUGCCUUGACACUUAUAUAGAGUUAAAUUCAAAAUGAAAUUCGAACAAUUCUGAGGCCAUUUGAAGGGAGUUUUAGUAAAAUAACAUGUGUCAAGCGUCAAAUAAUUCCAUGAAUAUUAAAGAGAUUAUACUGUAAUCCAAUUUCCUUGCAAGGAUAAAAAUUUGUCGGAAAGCUCUUUUGCAUGAUCUUAAAUAUAAUGUAAAAUACUAUAAAUCCAACAAGAGAAAUAUUUUUUUCAAGCAAUACACAUGCCAAUUAGUCUAUGGCGAAUCGAAAAUAUAGUCGGUUAGAAAAAUCUACCAGACCAACAUGGAAAAGUUGAUGACACCAUUAUGCCUUGCUAAUAAAGAUACAUACCUUAUCCCUCGUUAUAUUCUCUUUGGUAAGAGUUGUAACAGCUGCAUUUAGGUGAAAGAUCAGAGAUAUUAUAUAUUAGUUAUGAAAAAAACUAAGAAAGAUAAAAUAGAAAUCAACAGUCAAAUGAGCUACUCUAAGUUGCCUUUAUCCUCUCAUCUGAUUCACAUAGCCCAAGUACAUAAGACUUUUACACACGAUCAACAGAACUAAGGCACAAAACUCAUAAAAGUAACUCUUUGGAACACUGAAUGUGCAUGUCUUAAGAUGUAGAAUAGUAUCACUUUAAUGUGUAGUUAAAAUAUUAUGCCUAAGAAGAAAUUGACUAACCAGGUGUACACUAUAUUUUGAGAAUAACGUAAGUAGCGCAGGCGUAAAAAUAGAAGAACUAAGAAUGAAGAAAGUAGUAAGGUAGAUACUGAGUAAAACUGAAUUGAUCCCGCUGGUAAAUGAGUUUGAACUGAAUAUGAGCAUAAAAAAAUGUAAUUGCUUAUGACUGGAAAGAAUAUUACACAACUAAUGCUAGAAAAAAAAAUUACAUUUAGUAGUUAGUACUACUAUCACAUUCUCAUUUAAGACUAUAUCAAUACUGCUAGCAAAAGAAUCACAUUUAGUAGUUAGUACUACUAUCACACUCUCAUUUAAGACUAUAUCAAAUAUAACUGAAUGUUAAAUUAGCAGAAUUUUUUUAAGCAUUUUAUAGAACAUAUGGAAGCCUUAACAUGUCUCAAGCUACAAUCUCAACUUGAACUUGGCAUUCUUCAAAUAAUCUAAAUCGACAUUCCUUAUCUACCUUAAUAGCUUCAACUCUUGAACUUUCACAAUUGCCAAAAUAACGCAGCUACAAUAGGAGAAAGUACAAAGUGUUUUCUACAAAUUCUUCUAAUAUUAACCAAGCAUUUCAAUCUGUGAACAUUGAAGUUAUGCCAACAAAAAGAAUAGCAAUAGAUGUUAAACUAAGUAGAAAAAGAGCAAACAGAAAUAAUCAGAAGCACAAGUUGCUCAAUAUGUCCCUUAAAAGAAAUGGCACAGGAAAGCAUAGUGAAGAGUGGAAAUGACUGUAACAGAAAACAUGUGCUUAGUCAAAUUCCUUUGCCUGAUUUGCUAGUAAAAGCACCCUUUUGGAGUGUCAUAUAUGCUACCACUGUUAUACUUUUCGAGGCAACAUGGAAGGACUUAUCAACUGCAAGACACAACAGAAAAUAAUACAAGUAGCCGUGGAAAUUUGUGGUAAAAGUAUAACUAUAAAACAAGAAAGGAGUGGUCGAUAAAAAGGAGUUUUAUUUUAACAGGAAAAAUGAAUUAAAAGGUAGAAUCGAAUCAACAAACGAAAACAACAGUGAAAGAUCUAAAUUUUUAUAAACUGGUUCACUUAGUAUCUAUCAAAUAUAUAUGAUGUCAAUUAUUAGUACAUUCAUAAUAGUUGCAUAGAGGUAUUAUACUAGCCCUGCAAAACUCUUUUGUAUAACCUUUUGUCAAUAUGAUUAUUUUAGUGUUCAGCUAUGCCUAUAGUGCAAAAUAUUGUUGAGCUGAUUAUGAGACUUGCAGCUAAUGUGCUUCAUGAUCUACAAGUGUUUUCAUCACAAAUCGAUUCCUAAAUUCUAGUUUAUUUUAUUAUUUAGUGAAGUUCUGCUGUUAUAUGGUUUCCGCAUAGUAUGACAUCUUGAUCAUUAACAAUAUUUGCUAUGUGUUGGAUUCACUUGCACUUAAUGUUAAGUGACUGUGUUUUAGCCUGCAAAAUAGUUGUCUUUGAUGUUCUUAUCAUUCUAUAGUUGGAACAAUAAAAGUUACUUGACUAAUCCUUAUUUUCUAAUAUCUGGUAAUAAUUGUAGGGUUCAAUUACGCACAGUAGACAGUUGGACUACCUAAUGUCAGCAAAGUCCGGGAAGAUCAACAAACCAUUCUCUUGAUAUGCAAUUCAUAUUCCUUGGUAUAAAAUGUGUUUGUGCAAGUAUUUUACGAAAAAUCAAUAGUUGGAACAAGUUUUGGUUGGGCUCGGACAAAGUCCGGGCUAACCUUACUAGUACUAUUGUAGAAGGGAAUAAGUAGAGGAGCUUGGGGUCGUCAGGGGUAUCUUGGGAAUUUCCUUUUCAUCUUUCUUAUCCCCUGGACAUGCGUGUUAUUCUCUUCAAUGGUGGGCCCCAUUGACACUUUAUGUUGCCGCCUCCAAGCUUUACAGUUCUCAUUGUUUUGUUUGACUCUUUUACUCUUUACUUGCUUACUAUUGGGUAACUCAAUUUUUGAAUUUUAGGCUAUUAAAUAUUAAAAAGAAUUAUUUACUUGAACUUGUUCUUUCUCAAAGAAAGGUUAGGCAGUGUUUAUUCAGUUAUUGAAGAUUUAUUAGUGUCUUAAAAAGUUCUUGUCAUGUGAAUUUUGUAAGUAAAGUUCCAAUUAAACUACACAAACUAAAAAUAAAUGUAAUUUCCUAACAUGCAUUUAGGAAGGAA
This 5292-nucleotide long non-coding RNA is filed under the name Nicotiana benthamiana. RNAcentral describes it as "long non-coding RNA (NBEN_LNC009584)". Lineage: Eukaryota; Viridiplantae; Streptophyta; Magnoliopsida; Solanales; Solanaceae. The record is from RNAcentral.